RNAcentral lists this ribosomal RNA (521 nucleotides) under uncultured bacterium. RNAcentral's name for it is "bacterial SSU rRNA". It matches the Rfam family "Bacterial small subunit ribosomal RNA", at positions 355 to 895 of the family's 1533-position model. The record is from RNAcentral.
UGGGGAAUCUUGGACAAUGGGGGCAACCCUGAUCCAGCCAUGCCGCGUGAGUGAUGAAGGCCUUAGGGUCGUAAAGCUCUUUCGCCUGUGAAGAUAAUGACGGUAGCAGGUAAAGAAACCCCGGCUAACUCCGUGCCAGCAGCCGCGGUAAUACGGAGGGGGCUAGCGUUGUUCGGAAUUACUGGGCGUAAAGGGCGUGUAGGCGGCCAAUUAAGUCAGAGGUGAAAUCCCCGAGCUCAACUUGGGAACUGCCUUUGAUACUGGUUGGCUAGAGUUCGGGAGAGGGUAGUGGAAUUCCCAGUGUAGAGGUGAAAUUCGUAGAUAUUUGGAGGAACACCAGUGGCGAAGGCGGCUCACUGGCUCGAUACUGACGCUGAGGUGCGAAAGUGUGGGGAGCAAACAGGAUUAGAUACCCUGGUAGUCCACACCGUAAACGAUGAAUGCCAGUCGUCGGGUAGCAUGCUAUUCGGUGACACACCUAACGGAUUAAGCAUUCCGCCUGGGGAGUACGGUCGCAGAUU